Molecule: ribosomal RNA, 1692 nt
Filed under: Lactiplantibacillus pentosus
Lineage: Bacteria; Bacillati; Bacillota; Bacilli; Lactobacillales; Lactobacillaceae
Description: bacterial SSU rRNA
Rfam family: Bacterial small subunit ribosomal RNA
Source: RNAcentral
CUAAUACAUGCAAGUCGAACGAACUCUGGUAUUGAUUGGUGCUUGCAUCAUGAUUUACAUUUGAGUGAGUGGCGAACUGGUGAGUAACACGUGGGAAACCUGCCCAGAAGCGGGGGAUAACACCUGGAAACAGAUGCUAAUACCGCAUAACAACUUGGACCGCAUGGUCCGAGUUUGAAAGAUGGCUUCGGCUAUCACUUUUGGAUGGUCCCGCGGCGUAUUAGCUAGAUGGUGGGGUAACGGCUCACCAUGGCAAUGAUACGUAGCCGACCUGAGAGGGUAAUCGGCCACAUUGGGACUGAGACACGGCCCAAACUCCUACGGGAGGCAGCAGUAGGGAAUCUUCCACAAUGGACGAAAGUCUGAUGGAGCAACGCCGCGUGAGUGAAGAAGGGUUUCGGCUCGUAAAACUCUGUUGUUAAAGAAGAACAUAUCUGAGAGUAACUGUUCAGGUAUUGACGGUAUUUAACCAGAAAGCCACGGCUAACUACGUGCCAGCAGCCGCGGUAAUACGUAGGUGGCAAGCGUUGUCCGGAUUUAUUGGGCGUAAAGCGAGCGCAGGCGGUUUUUUAAGUCUGAUGUGAAAGCCUUCGGCUCAACCGAAGAAGUGCAUCGGAAACUGGGAAACUUGAGUGCAGAAGAGGACAGUGGAACUCCAUGUGUAGCGGUGAAAUGCGUAGAUAUAUGGAAGAACACCAGUGGCGAAGGCGGCUGUCUGGUCUGUAACUGACGCUGAGGCUCGAAAGUAUGGGUAGCAAACAGGAUUAGAUACCCUGGUAGUCCAUACCGUAAACGAUGAAUGCUAAGUGUUGGAGGGUUUCCGCCCUUCAGUGCUGCAGCUAACGCAUUAAGCAUUCCGCCUGGGGAGUACGGCCGCAAGGCUGAUUAACUUUGAAUGCAAGCUUUCGGGCUCAAACGAAGAAGUGGCAUCGGGAACUGGGAAACAUGAGUGCAGAAGAGGACAGUGGAACUCCAUGUGUAGCGGUGAAAAGCGUAGAUAUAUGGAAGAACACCAGUGGCGAAGGCGGCUGUCUGGUCUGUAACUGACGCUGAGGCUCGAAAGUAUGGGUAGCAAACAGGAUUUGAUACCCUGGUAGUCCAUACCGUAAACGAUGAAUGCUAAGUGUUGGAGGGUUUCCGCCCUUCAGUGGUGCAGCUAACGCAUUAAGCAUUCCGCCUGGGGAGUACGGCCGCAAGGCUGAAACUCAAAGGAAUUGACGGGGGCCCGCACAAGCGGUGGAGCAUGUGGUUUAAUUUGAAGCUACGCGAAGAACCUUACCAGGUCUUGACAUACUAUGCAAAUUUAAGAGAUUAGACGUUCCCUUCGGGGACAUGGAUACAGGUGGUGCAUGGUUGUCGUCAGCUCGUGUCGUGAGAUGUUGGGUUAAGUCCCGCAACGAGCGCAACCCUUAUUAUCAGUUGCCAGCAUUAAGUUGGGCACUUUGGUGAGACUGCCGGUGACAAACCGGAGGAAGGUGGGGAUGACGUCAAAUCAUCAUGCCCCUUAUGACCUGGGCUACACACGUGCUACAAUGGAUGGUACAACGAGUUGCGAACUCGCGAGAGUAAGCUAAUCUCUUAAAGCCAUUCUCAGUUCGGAUUGUAGGCUGCAACUCGCCUACAUGAAGUCGGAAUCGCUAGUAAUCGCGGAUCAGCAUGCCGCGGUGAAUACGUUCCCGGGCCUUGUACACA